GACAGAGGGGGCUAGCGUUGUCCGGACUGACUGGGCGUAAAGCGCACGCAGGUGGCCGCGUUAGUGCGGUGUGAAAGCCCGCCGCUUCACGGCGGGACGCCAUCGCUGACUGCGCGGCUCGAGCCAUGCAGAGGCCCGUGGAAUUGCCGGUGUAGUGGUAAUAUGCGUAGAUAUCGGCAGGAACACCAAGGGGGAAACCAUCGGGCUGGGCAUGUGCUGACACUGAGGUGCGACAGCGUGGGGAGCAAACCGG
Molecule: ribosomal RNA, 253 nt
Filed under: uncultured bacterium
Lineage: Bacteria
Description: partial 16S ribosomal RNA
Rfam family: Bacterial small subunit ribosomal RNA
Source: RNAcentral